UACGAAGGGGGCAAGCGUUGUUCGGAAUUACUGGGCGUAAAGGGCGCGCAGGCGGCCGAUCAAGUCAGAUGUGAAAGCCCCGGGCUCAACCUGGGAAUUGCAUUUGGGACUGGUAGGCUAGAGAUCGGGAGAGGAGAGUGGAAUUCCCAGUGUAGAGGUGAAAUUCGUAGAUAUCGGGAGGAACACCAGUGGCGAAGGCGGCUCUCUGGGCAGAUACUGACACUGAGACGCGAAAGCGUGGGUAGCAAACAGG
Molecule: ribosomal RNA, 253 nt
Filed under: uncultured prokaryote
Description: partial 16S ribosomal RNA
Rfam family: Bacterial small subunit ribosomal RNA
Source: RNAcentral